AUGGAACACCACCAGUCAUAUUCCAAGGACCUGGUGCAUUUCAAUUGCAACAACCUUAGGCUCGGUGAAAUCAUAUACCAAGAUGGUGAUGGUUAUGUGCACCUACUAGUCAAGUGUUUGGUGGGCAUAUUGAGGAAUCUGCCAAACAACAAGAUCAAACUCACUCGCCUCCAGGAAAACACACAGGAUCUAAGUCAUUUAGGCCUUGGCAGCUAUGAGUUGUGGCAUCUUUGUUGUUUGCAUUUUAUUGUUUGUUUGCAGGAUUUUCCAGCAAUUUCUUCUCCACAUAAAUUGGUAAAGCUAUCCUCAUUAUUCAGUCACAGUAUUUUCUUGAUCAUUCAAUUAUUUAUUUUAAUUCAACUGUUGCUUAUGGACUGUGUGCUUGUCAAUAGCUGCAAUUAG
This 402-nucleotide ribosomal RNA is filed under the name Triticum aestivum (bread wheat). RNAcentral describes it as "partial small subunit ribosomal RNA". The record is from RNAcentral. Lineage: Eukaryota; Viridiplantae; Streptophyta; Magnoliopsida; Poales; Poaceae.